GAUGAACGCUGGCGGCGUGCCUAAUACAUGCAAGUCGAGCGAACAGAUGAGAAGCUUGCUUCUCUGAUGUUAGCGGCGGACGGGUGAGUAACACGUGGGUAACCUACCUAUAAGACUGGGAUAACUCCGGGAAACCGGGGCUAAUACCGGAUAAUAUUUUGAACCGCAUGGUUCAAUAGUGAAAGACGGUUUCGGCUGUCACUUAUAGAUGGACCCGCGCCGUAUUAGCUAGUUGGUAAGGUAACGGCUUACCAAGGCGACGAUACGUAGCCGACCUGAGAGGGUGAUCGGCCACACGGGAACUGAGACACGGUCCAGACUCCUACAGGAGGCAGCAGUAGGGAAUCUUCCGCAAUGGGCGAAAGCCUGACGGAGCAACGCCGCGUGAGUGAUGAAGGUCUUCGGAUCGUAAAACUCUGUUGUUAGGGAAGAACAAAUUUGUUAGUAACUGAACAAGUCUUGACGGUACCUAACCAGAAAGCCACGGCUAACUACGUGCCAGCCGCCGCGGUAA
Molecule: ribosomal RNA, 514 nt
Filed under: uncultured bacterium
Lineage: Bacteria
Description: partial 16S ribosomal RNA
Rfam family: Bacterial small subunit ribosomal RNA
Source: RNAcentral